RNAcentral lists this ribosomal RNA (368 nucleotides) under Salmonella enterica subsp. enterica serovar Typhimurium. RNAcentral describes it as "bacterial SSU rRNA". It matches the Rfam family "Bacterial small subunit ribosomal RNA", at positions 1153 to 1520 of the family's 1533-position model. Lineage: Bacteria; Pseudomonadati; Pseudomonadota; Gammaproteobacteria; Enterobacterales; Enterobacteriaceae. The record is from RNAcentral. RNAcentral also lists the same sequence under 1 other name.
CAGUGAUAAACUGGAGGAAGGUGGGGAUGACGUCAAGUCAUCAUGGCCCUUACGACCAGGGCUACACACGUGCUACAAUGGCGCAUACAAAGAGAAGCGACCUCGCGAGAGCAAGCGGACCUCAUAAAGUGCGUCGUAGUCCGGAUUGGAGUCUGCAACUCGACUCCAUGAAGUCGGAAUCGCUAGUAAUCGUGGAUCAGAAUGCCACGGUGAAUACGUUCCCGGGCCUUGUACACACCGCCCGUCACACCAUGGGAGUGGGUUGCAAAAGAAGUAGGUAGCUUAACCUUCGGGAGGGCGCUUACCACUUUGUGAUUCAUGACUGGGGUGAAGUCGUAACAAGGUAACCGUAGGGGAACCUGCGGUUG